Molecule: ribosomal RNA, 862 nt
Filed under: uncultured Variovorax sp.
Lineage: Bacteria; Pseudomonadati; Pseudomonadota; Betaproteobacteria; Burkholderiales; Comamonadaceae
Description: bacterial SSU rRNA
Rfam family: Bacterial small subunit ribosomal RNA
Source: RNAcentral
CGAGCCCAAUCGUGGGGGAUAACGCAGCGAAAGCUGUGCUAAUACCGCCUACUAUCUCCGGAUGAAACCAGGGGAUCGCAAGACCUUGCGCGAAUGGUGCGGCCGAUGGCAGAUUAGGUAGUUGGUGAGGUAAAGGCUCACCAAGCCUUCGAUCUGUAGCUGGUCUGAGAGGACGACCAGCCACACUGGGACUGAGACACGGCCCAGACUCCUACGGGAGGCAGCAGUGGGGAAUUUUGGACAAUGGGCGCAAGCCUGAUCCAGCCAUGCCGCGUGCAGGAUGAAGGCCUUCGGGUUGUAAACUGCUUUUGUACGGAACGAAACGGCCUUUUCUAAUAAAGAGGGCUAAUGACGGUACCGUAAGAAUAAGCACCGGCUAACUACGUGCCAGCAGCCGCGGUAAUACGUAGGGUGCAAGCGUUAAUCGGAAUUACUGGGCGUAAAGCGUGCGCAGGCGGUUAUGUAAGACAGUUGUGAAAUCCCCGGGGCUCAACCUGGGAACUGCAUCUGUGACUGCAUAGCUAGAGUACGGUAGAGGGGGGAUGGAAUUCCGCGUGUAGCAGUGAAAUGCGUAGAUAUGCGGAGGAACACCGAUGGGCGAAGCAAUCCCCUGGACCUGUACUGACGCUCAUGCACGAAAGCGUGGGAGCAAACAGGAUUAGAUACCCUGGUAGUCCACGCCCUAAACGAUGUCAACUGGUUGUUGGGAAUUCACUUUCUCAGUAACGAACCUAACGCGUGAAGUUGACCGCCUGGGGAGUACGGCCGCAAGGUGAAACUCAAAGGAAUGGACGGGGACCCGCACAAGCGGUGGGAUGAUGUGGUUUAAUUCGAUGCAGCGCGAAAACCUUUACCCACCUUU